GACGAACGCUGGCGGCGUGCUUAACACAUGCAAGUCGAACGGUGAAGCGCCUUCCUUUUUGGUGGGUGUGGAUGAGUGGCGAACGGGUGAGUAACACGUGAGUAACCUGCCCCCUUCUUCUGGAUAACCGCAUGAAAGUGUGGCUAAUACGGGAUAUUCUGGGUCUGUCGCAUGAUGGGUCUGGGAAAGAUAUUGUUUCGGUGGGGGAUGGGCUCGCGGCCUAUCAGCUUGUUGGUGGGGUGAUGGCCUACCAAGGCGGUGACGGGUAGCCGGCCUGAGAGGGUGGACGGUCACACUGGGGCUGCGACGCGGACCAGACUCCUACGGGAGGCAGCAGUGGGGAAUAUUGCACAAUGGGCGCAAGCCUGAUGCAGCGCCGCCGCGUGAGGGAUGGAGGCCUUCGGGUUGUGAACCUCUUUCGCCAGUGAAGCAGGCCUGCCUCGUUUGUGGGUGGGUUGACGGUAGCUGGAUAAGAAGCGCCGGCUAACUACGUG
This 494-nucleotide ribosomal RNA is filed under the name uncultured bacterium. RNAcentral's name for it is "partial 16S ribosomal RNA". It matches the Rfam family "Bacterial small subunit ribosomal RNA", at positions 28 to 507 of the family's 1533-position model. The record is from RNAcentral.